AUAAAACGCUGGCUGUACACCCGCCAUCAAAACCUUGUGCGCAUUGUUUCCUCCCCAAUGUUGCCCUCCCAAUCGAAAAUCAAAACCCACCCCCCCAACAAUGUUUCCCUCCCAAUCGAAUUUCCUUUCAUUCCUGAGAAAUACCUAGAGGCAGAGACGGAAGGAAUGGCCUAAAUGGACAACCACCACCACCACCCUUUCCGAGAACACGAACACCACCACCGCGAUCAUACAAGCUCCGUCAUCGCCUUCUCUUUUAAGUCCGACUGGGACGACAAACCGUUCACCAACGAAGACCUCCAAACCAUUGAAGCUGCUCUUCAAUCUACCUUCAAAAGGCCACUACCCUCCUCUUCUCACAACCACGACGACGACAACGACCACAAUUCUGGCAGUCCAGAUCCCCCAACCGGUGGUGGUGGUGGUGGAAGCCGCCGAAAAUUGCCCAGUUCCAUUCUCGCUUCCCAGGAUCCGAACCCAUUCUCUCUUUCGCCUUGCCGAGCCAAUUUGAGGAUGAGAUAUCUUGUGAUGAAAUUUGCAGGUCAAAUUACAUAUAGCAGGACUGUAGUUGAAAUGGAGGCAGCUGCAAUGGAGCUCCUAAAGACUGUUGAAGCAAAGAAUAGAGAAGUGGGUGAAUGGAGACCUACAUUCAAAAAAGUUCAUGAUUUUCUUAUAGACGAAUGUUCAGACCUUCCUUAUCAAGCAUCGUCGUUGAAAAUACUAAGUAUGUUUUCAACCAGCCUUGACACUCAUCAACGCCAUCCCCCUUUCUGGCAUGUCCUCUCCGACCAGCUCUUGCUAGUGUUCCAUCUCUCACUGACGACCCUCUCUCGCACUCCCUCUCAGGUAUGCUUUCCCUCUCUAUUUUUUCUCUUUUCCUUUCACUCUCUCUGUUUGUCCGUCUCCCAUUAGUUGUUAUAUUUGCAAGUCUCCAAGCAAUUUUCGCCAAAUUUCAAAAACUAGAAGCAAUUUUGGCUGAGAGUUUUAGCUUUUGUUUGUCAUAAAGUAAAACAAGUGUUGAUUAUGUAUUGUGUUGUAGGGUCAAGAUAUUGCCGCAUGUAUGGCUUUGAUAAAAAACUCUAGAAAAAUCUAAGAGAAGCCUUUUUAAAUUUUGGCUGGUGUAAGAAUCCAUAAAGGAAAGGGAGAAAAAAAAAAAAAAAUAGAGAAAGGCGGAUUUAUGAAUCAGAUGUCCAAAAUAUAACAAAAAGAUGCUUUUUCUUGUCCCCUGUUUUUUAUACAGCUGAUCCUUUGUUUUUAUGCUACAUGUCCUUACAAAUAUAUUAGUUGAGGUGAUUUUUCUUCUUGCCGUGAGUAGAGUCUAGUUGCUACAAAAUAUAUUUUGCGUCUAUUUAUUUUCACUGCAGGUCACACCUUGCCAUUGAAUCAGCCAACAAUUAUAAACUGUUUAGCCCAAUUACCAUUCUGAAAAUUACAAGCUUAUCUUUUUUGAGGAAAGAAAUUAAAGAAAGGCUGUAGAUUAUCUUUGUAGGUUGGCAAAUUGUGUCCAAUCCAUUCCAUAUGAGAAUGGUGAGUCCACAUCUCCAUAACAGUAUACAACUCAUAAUGUUUAAAUAAGUUUUUGUAGAUUGAUCAUAAAAUGUCUUAUUAUGCUUUUAAAAUGUGAAGUUUUGGUUAAGCAUAUACAUUGUAGAUAUAUAUACAUAUAUAUAACUUAUCUUUUCUGUUGAAUAGGCUUUAAAAGGUCCAAAAAGACUCCUGCAGUAAAUAAUAAACUCUGGCCUGUCCUUACUUAAGAGUUAACCUUAAGGUCAAAAAGACCAAUACAUUCCUUUUGUUUUUAUUGUUUCAGGAUUAUCAUCGUUUCCAUGUUUUUGUUACUGCAAAUGUUGAGAAAUUUGUCAGCAAUUUUGUCCGAGCUUCAAAAAUUUCAGUUUAAAGUUGUAAGCAAUGUACUGUAUUCUAUUUAUAGUAACAGUAAUUCUAUUUCCUUCAAUGUUUAACCUUGUGCAAGUUAUUUUUAGAUUGAGAAUUACUUGUAUAUUUGUGUAGAGUUUGUUUUGAUUGAUAAUUAAUUAUGUAUUUUUUAGUUGAAUUUAUGCUCAAUCAUGAAUGUUAUUGGCUUAAUAAAAAAAUGUUUUAUUGGUGAAA
This is an RNA transcript of Ziziphus jujuba (common jujube), 2109 nucleotides long. It is a transcript of the gene named 3'-5' exonuclease, with no coding region annotated. The record is from RefSeq and is a predicted model, not a curated record. NCBI's taxonomy places the organism in Eukaryota, Viridiplantae, Streptophyta, Magnoliopsida, Rosales, Rhamnaceae. The transcript has 4 exons.